This 444-nucleotide ribosomal RNA is filed under the name uncultured bacterium. Its description in RNAcentral is "SSU rRNA". It matches the Rfam family "Bacterial small subunit ribosomal RNA", at positions 26 to 518 of the family's 1533-position model. The record is from RNAcentral.
AGAGCGAACGCUGGCGGCAGGCCUAACACAUGCAAGUCGAGCGCGUGUAGCAAUACACGAGCGGCAGACGGGAGAGUAACACGUGGGAACGCGCCCUUCGGUUCGGAAUAACUCAGGGAAACUUGAGCUAAUACCGGAUACGCCCUUACGGGGAAAGAUUUAUUGCCGAAGGAACGGCCCGCGUCCGAUUAGCUAGUUGGUGAGGUAACGGCUCACCAAGGCGACGAUCGGUAGCUGGUCUGAGAGGAUGACCAGCCUCACUGGGACUGAGACACGGCCCAGACUCCUACGGGAGGCAGCAGUGGGGAAUAUUGGACAAUGGGCGCAAGCCUGAUCCAGCCAUGCCGCGUGGAUGAUGAGGCCUUAGGGUUGUAAAGUCCUUUAACGGGAAGAUAAUGACGGUACCGUAGAAUAAGCCCCGGCUAACUUCGCGCCAGCAGCCGC